This is a long non-coding RNA of Salvelinus namaycush (lake trout), 551 nucleotides long. RefSeq lists it as uncharacterized. Lineage: Eukaryota; Metazoa; Chordata; Actinopteri; Salmoniformes; Salmonidae. The record is from RefSeq and is a predicted model, not a curated record. The transcript has 4 exons.
GGAAGUAGUAGAAGAAGAAAAUGGGCUACUUCAAAAUGGAGAUUUCAUCAAAGGCGCUGCCCGUGCUCUCAGACACCAUAAUGGGACAGAUAUAAGGAUGCAAUGUCUAAGUCUAUGGGAAUUCCACAGCGCUUUACACAUGACGUGGUAUCACAUGAGCUUUAAACUCAGUUAAUUCUGAAAGGACUGUCUGCAUUGAAAAUGGACCAGGCAUGGCUUACGCUCCAUAACCUUCUACCAACCAAAGUUGAUGUCCACGACAUCUCUGAUUCCUGUUACAAGGGUCUGUACCAGCCAUUGGUCAGUGUUUGUCACAGCUUUGCUGUUACAACCAAUGGGGGGAGACACAACUCUCUGCAGGAGGUGCUGUAUGACAAAGCUUAUCAAGACCAUUUGCUGCAAAGGCCCACAAUAUGCAAUGGAUGUUAGUAAUAAUAUUCAUAUUCACUUAUUGCAAUGCAAAUCUCAAGUUAGGAUUUAAAGGGAAAGUGCAGUCAAAAACAUGAUUUUCCUGUGUUUUGAUAUUGAGAUUAAAAAAAAGUUGCGUUGGA